Long non-coding RNA from Helianthus annuus (common sunflower), 1351 nucleotides. RefSeq lists it as uncharacterized. NCBI's taxonomy places the organism in Eukaryota, Viridiplantae, Streptophyta, Magnoliopsida, Asterales, Asteraceae. The record is from RefSeq and is a predicted model, not a curated record. The transcript is spliced from 6 exons.
GUGAUGAAAGAUGUCUGGAGUGCUGAUGGUUUGAGAUGAAAUCAGAUGAUGAACAACCUGUGAUGAAGAACAAACAUCAAUGAAAUCGAAAACACACAGGGUUGAACACGGAUUUGAAGAAACCCUAACUGAAGGUUUUGUCCGGUCAUCUCUGUUGUGGUUUCUUUCGGCUUUCUUCCACAUCAACGAUUAGCAAACACAAAGGUUUAAUGGUGGCAUGUUUGUGCUGGUUCAACAAAGCCAGAAAGCGGAGGCGACGGCUAGGGUUUCGAUUAGUGAUCUCGGUCUGAUGUUCUUCACGAUAGAUAUGCACUCGAGAUGGUAAAGAUGGAAUUCCAGCAUUGCUUGGGGUUACAGGGAUCCGCGUUUGAGUUUAGUUCUGGCUGGAAUCCGAGUCGAUCGUUUCACAACUACUAUGGCGUCUUCUAGGGUUUCAUCAAAAGUCCAAAUCAAGAAAAUCCGUUGGGUCCAUCACUAAAGGAAAGAACAGUUGUUGUUGCUGCAGUUUCCUUGUUAGGAACAUUACCAGCUCUAGCAUCAUUCAGCGAUUCCACAAACACCACUAACAAAUGGGUUACCAGAGCACUUGCGCUUCCUACUGCAGGAACUGCCUCUAAGAAAGAGAUUCGAUUGAAACAGAAUCUGCGGUAAAUACUCUGAAGCAUAUAUUUGACAAGCAUAUGCUUGUGAAGCUGGAGAAUUUGCUAAAGUGGCAACCAAGCCAUUGAGGUUACACGUGUCAAACGUUUAUGGCAUUAGAGAAACCGGAAGGGGUCCCAAUUCAGGUGUUGGCAGAUUUUUUUUUAACAUGUUGGUUUUUUAUGUGAAAGAGGUAAUAACUUCUCAUCUCAUAUUUUUUAUAGUAUAGUUUGAACCAUUUACUUUUGGAUCCAUCGAUUCUGGUUACAUUUUCCAAACAGGUCUCAAGUGUAUUUUUAUUAGUAUGCGAAUCUUGUAAAUCGUUUUUACAGAGGUUAGGGUAUUAUUGAGAUGCUAUAUGUGUGUUUUAAUCAUUCUGACUCUUAUUUAUAUAACAAUAGAGGUCCUGGACAAAGUAUUUCAUGUCAACCCAUCCUGAUCUGUAAUGGGUCAAAAUGGACCCAAAUGGGUUGGGCCAACUUACACUCUUUUUUUUAUUAAUUUUUUUCAUUUUAUAAAGUUAUAAAUAUGCAAAGUAUGACUCAAUAGGUCUUUAAAAAUUUGAGUUCAGUUUGUAUGGGUUUUAAUUUGUUCGGCCCUUUUGAUCCAUUUUCUUUUUAGUUAAACCAUUUGACCUGAAAAAUGUAAGACAUUGAAACUGAUAUAUGUGUAAGUUGAUGGUCAUAGGUUGUUGCUUUUAUUAAUGACAGUC